Molecule: non-coding RNA, 29 nt
Filed under: Mus musculus (house mouse)
Lineage: Eukaryota; Metazoa; Chordata; Mammalia; Rodentia; Muridae
Source: RNAcentral
CACACUGGUUUACUUGUUGCUUGCUUGUU